CAUGCUUCGUUGCAUAAGGGCCAUUUUUGCGCAAGAGGCUUUUGCGCAAAAAGGAGCUGUCUAUAUAGCUCCUUUUUGCGCAAAAGCCUCUUGCGCAAAAAUGGCCCUUAUGCAACGAAGCAUGCAAAUUAUGCUCUGCUAAUCUGCACUUCAUUUGCA
Regulatory RNA element from Pelodiscus sinensis (Chinese soft-shelled turtle), 159 nucleotides. It matches the Rfam family "Interferon gamma 5' UTR regulatory element". Rfam says of the family: This family represents a pseudoknot containing stem-loop structure found in the 5' UTR of interferon (IFN) gamma mRNA. The record is from Rfam. Lineage: Eukaryota; Metazoa; Chordata; Testudines; Trionychidae.